AUUGAACGCUGGCGGAAUGCUUUACACAUGCAAGUCGAACGGCAGCACGGACUUCGGUCUGGUGGCGAGUGGCGAACGGGUGAGUAAUGUAUCGGAACGUGCCCAGUCGUGGGGGAUAACGUAGUGAAAAUUACGCUAAUACCGCAUACGAUCUAUGGAUGAAAGCGGGGGAUCGCAAGACCUCGCGCGAUUGGAGCGGCCGAUAUCAGAUUAGGUAGGUGGUGGGGUAAAGGCCCACCAAGCCAACGAGUGGUAGCUGGUCUGAGAGGACGACCAGCCACACGGGAACGGAGACACGGUCCAGACUCCUACGGGAGGCAGCAGUGGGGAAUUUUGGACAAUGGGCGAAAUCCUGAUCCAGCCAUUCCGCGUGCAGGGUGAAGGCCCUCGGGUUGUAAACUGCUUUUGUACAGAACGAAAAGGUUUCUACUAAUACUAGGAGCUCAUGACGGUACUGUAAGAAUAAGCACCGGCUAACUACGUGCCAGCAGCCGCCGUAA
This 500-nucleotide ribosomal RNA is filed under the name uncultured bacterium. Its description in RNAcentral is "partial 16S ribosomal RNA". It matches the Rfam family "Bacterial small subunit ribosomal RNA", at positions 30 to 523 of the family's 1533-position model. The record is from RNAcentral.